RNAcentral lists this transfer RNA (65 nucleotides) under Pelecyphorus contortus. RNAcentral's name for it is "tRNA-His". Lineage: Eukaryota; Metazoa; Arthropoda; Insecta; Coleoptera; Tenebrionidae. The record is from RNAcentral.
AUUUAAAUAGUUUAACUUAAAAUAUUGACUUGUGGAGUCAAGGAUGUACAUUUGUAUUUUAAAUA